AUGCCACUGGUGGUGUAGUGUCAAACAUUCCAGAACAGCCAAAACCGGUGUUGUAAUAUGCGCUCACUCUUCCAGGAAAUGCAGGUCGAGAUGCACCACCACUGCCUAUUUGUGAAACGCUCUCCAAUGAAGCACUCAGUACCACCAAUCACAUUUUGGCUCAUGCAAUUCACUUUGCAUUUAUCAAAGUACACCCAAAUAAAAAUUCACCAGGUCGAAACUGAUUAUAGCUGGGCUUUAAUACAAAGUGUGAUGCUCGCUUUCAACAAAGAGCACAUCGGCACUUACCUCAACAGAGCAUAUGACUUCUGCAUGAACAAAAAAAUCAGUGGAUGAAAUGAAGUCAUAUACUGUACUACACAUUUGCUCUGCUCACAUCCUGAAAGCUGUCAGACAGGCAAUCUGUAGGCAAACAGAUGACAAAGGACUGAGAUACUUUGCCACAUAUGCUUUCGCAAGACUUCAAAAUGCCAGCAACAUGACUUAAUAAAGAAAGGUGUUCCGUGCAUUAUGUGCCUUGCUCACAACCCAACAAAACACAGACCUCGUCAAAGAAAGUCUGCGUAUUUUGGAGAGUGUCAUUUCAAGAUCCAAAGUGGAGCCACUGGAAGAAACUCCCCAAUCUGAAGACUGGGAAAUGUGUGAAAGUGAAGACAGAACACAUGCAACGACCAUCAGUGGCAAAUCACCAUUCUAUGCCUUUUUUCAGCAGAUUAUGAAAGAGGUGAAGGAAGAAAUGGUUGAUGAUGACACAGGGUUGGCAACAGAAGACAACCCAUACUUUUGUCCAGGCAUUCUCACAGUCCUCUUUGAUAUGUACCUUGCUAUCUUUCCUCUUUGGAGUGGCUUGCUGUUGGGAGACCUGAUGGAUGAAUGUCAUGAACAGUACAUGGAGACAACAAAGAAACAACCAAAAACAAGAGAUGCCAACUGUCACAUUGAAAGGUGGUUUGGAAUUGUCAAACAUUCCAUAAUGCAUAAAGAAAGAAAAGUCAAAACAGGGACCUUCAUAAGAAAGAUGCACAAGUCUCUACAAGCGAGGUAUACAGAGCAUAUCAUCAAGCAUGUACUUCCUCAAAAGCUUUUGCGGCAACCUGAGGCACCUUUGAACCUUGAUCAAUCUCAAGAAACUUGGAAGAAGAAGGAAGACCGUUUCCCAUCCACCGAAUCCAAAUUCUUUUCUGUUCCACAUAAAAUACCUGCUCCCCAAAAAGAGGAUCAAGAAGGAUGUGGAAGUGGAAACUUCAAGUUCUGAUGCAUGUCAGCCUCCUGCAGAUGGACUCCAUGUAGAUGAACAGAUCCAGAUACUAUUGAAGAAGAAGGAACAUACAGAGCUGCUAGUUGUUGUAAUUGUUCAGUCUCCUAGCCAGGAUCUCGAGUUCCUUUUACAUCACAAGGAAUUCAAUGCACUGAGGCCACAUGAAUGGUUAUUUGGAGAGACUAUUGAGUGCUAUUUCAGAACUGUACUUAAUAAGGAGGAUGCAAAUCUCUACCAGCUAAGCCAUGACACCACAGGUGUCAUUUUAAAUGGCACAAGAGAGCAGAUGGAACAGCAAGGAUUUUGAAAAGUCAACUUAGAGCAAUAUGAUGGGGUCAUCACUUUUGUCAAUAUCACCAAAAAUCACUGGAGGUUUGUGUUUGUAUAUGCUCAGACUGACACCCUUUUCAUGCUUGACUCUCUGAGUGGUACAAAUGAAAUGAAAUGAAAAGGCAUGCCAAAAAUUCGGGUAUGAUAGUCUGUUUUAAAAAAGAUAUUUAGCAUGUGUAGAUCCAAAACAGUAAUAAUGGAAACUAAGCAAAGUUCAUGUUGUGUAAGACUACCAUAAUCACACACUGCCCCCAAAAAGAAUUACCCCCAAAAGAGGAGCAAUGCGUUAAGUGUGAACGCAAAGAAAUACGUCACAAAGAUGAUCAAUGCUCAAACUGUGGAUACAGACAAAGAGAUCCAGUAGAUGUGCUCUACGACUGGGUUCAAUGUGAAAUUUGUCUGAGGUGGUAUCGUCUCAACAUUAAAGUGCCAGCACAGGAAGAACCAUGGACUUGUGAUUUGUGUCUGUAAGCUAUUCAGUUAGAGGAGCUUAUGCUGAAAGUGUUCUUACAUUGUAAGAAAAAAUGUUUUGCCUAUUUGAUAUGUUAUGUAAAUGCUUUACACUUUUUUAGUAUUUGGUAUAGGCUUCAUAUUGUUGUGUUGCUUGUUGUCCUCUGCUGGUCUUUUAUGUGAAUGAAUUUUGGGGGAAGAAAUACUUGCAUUUGGGAGGUUGAAAUAUUUGUGAUAUUGGGUAGUUGACUUUUUAUUAUCUACAAAAACAUUUAAAACACCUAAAAUGUUUUUUUUUUCUUCUUUUUUUUCAUAAUUAGGAUGCAAGUGAAGUGAUAUGAACAAUGUAAGGGUUUUCAAUAACAACCUCUUUUACUUUAAGAAAGUGUUGUGGUUUAUGCUCUAUGUAAAAAAAUGACUUGUCAAAGAUCUUUGAUUACAGAAGUAUUUUUACUUUAUUGUACAACCAAGGAGAUAGCCUCUUCAGGAGACCGCUCCUGAUUUCUGCUAUUGUCUCACUAUAUAUACAGGCAAAAGCCCUUCGCCAUACAUUUUAUAGAUAUUCUGAGAAA
Megalobrama amblycephala (Wuchang bream) is the source of this 2610-nucleotide long non-coding RNA. RefSeq lists it as uncharacterized. The record is from RefSeq and is a predicted model, not a curated record. NCBI's taxonomy places the organism in Eukaryota, Metazoa, Chordata, Actinopteri, Cypriniformes, Xenocyprididae. The transcript is spliced from 6 exons.